Molecule: ribosomal RNA, 382 nt
Filed under: uncultured bacterium
Lineage: Bacteria
Description: bacterial SSU rRNA
Rfam family: Bacterial small subunit ribosomal RNA
Source: RNAcentral
UCGAGAAUCUUUCACAAUGGGGGCAACCCUGAUGGAGCGACGCCGCGUGGAGGAUAAGGUCUUCGGAUUGUAAACUCCUGUCUGCGAGAGUCAGUACCGCAAGAGGAAGAGACGGCUAACUCUGUGCCAGCAGCCGCGGUAAACAGAGGUCUCAAGCGUUGUUCGGAAUUAUGGGCGUAAAGGGUGCGUAGGCUGCGCAGAAAGUCAGAUGUGAAAUCCGGGGGCUCAACCUCCGAAUGCAUCCGAUACUCCUGUGCUGAGGACUGGAGAGGAGCUUGGAAUUCUCGGUGUAGCAGUGAAAUGCGUAGAGAUCGAGAGGAACACUAGUGGCGAAGGCUGGGCUCUGGACAGUAUCUGACGCUGAGGCACGAAGGUCAGGGGA